This 115-nucleotide ribosomal RNA is filed under the name Diaphorina citri (Asian citrus psyllid). Lineage: Eukaryota; Metazoa; Arthropoda; Insecta; Hemiptera; Psyllidae. The record is from RNAcentral.
GCCAGCGGCAAUAGAACGUUGAAUGCACCAGUUCCCCAUGGUUCACUGAAGUUGAGCAAUGUUGCGCGUGGUUGGUAUCCGGAUGGGUGACCAACUGGGGACUUUGCUGUUGGCU